GGCGAGCUAAUACAGUGCAUUCGUCGCCGGAGAAUGAUGUUGCAUUUCACCCAAGUGGAAAUUUCUUGGUGACUGGCGGCGAUCACGAUACAAUAAGAUUGCUUAAUUUAUUAGAAGGUCGACCAAUUUAUACACGUUGCUCGUUUGGAAAUCUAAUUUGCAUAUAUUUGAUGCCAAUAGCUCUCGAAACAAACAAGCCAGAGUCCAAAUUGAUUUUAGUGAUGCAACAGGUCCACAUAACUAAGCCAUAGACACACCAGUUGUUGGAGUACCAAAAAGCUGUGAUGACAGUAUUUUAAUUGAUCCAUGACAAUCGGUGGCAAAUGGAAUGCGUGAUGAAAUUUUCUGGUGCUUGAUAGCCAAUAUACUAUAAGAUUACAUUAAGAAGCUCAUAGAGGACAGAGCUGUUGGUGAGGAAGAUGUCGAGUUACUGCAGUACUGCAACUUGGAAAAUCCGCAUUUCGCACGUGCCCCACUCGUAUGGAAUAGUAGCUUAUGUCAAAAGGCUGGUUUUAGUAUAAUGCGGCAUUCGCAGCAUACCCUCACUGGCGCCGAGCCGUUGAAGAAAUUUUGGCAAAUAAACGUGCAAGAAAUAGUUCCGAUAAUAGCACGUCCAUAUUCUUGUUAAGGGUCAUCAAAAAAAU
This 644-nucleotide unclassified non-coding RNA is filed under the name Rhagoletis pomonella (apple maggot). Its description in RNAcentral is "probable ubiquitin carboxyl-terminal hydrolase FAF, transcript variant X4". Lineage: Eukaryota; Metazoa; Arthropoda; Insecta; Diptera; Tephritidae. The record is from RNAcentral.